AACCCAACCAGGCAGGCAGACUGUUGUUACCAUGCAACGAGCAGACGCUUGUGAAAAUAACUAGCUACAAAAUUGGCUAAAUGCCUGCUGUUGUAUACAUAGCGCGCGUGUGUGUAUGUUGCUAACAUUGGCUAGUUAGCUAGCCAUCAAUAAAGUUCCUAACGUUACAUCAUGGCAGACGGCUGGAGCACCGACACCGGAGAGGUUGCCUAUCGUUCCCGGGAUGUUGUCAAAAACCUUACAAUUAAGAUCCGUAUUCAGAGAGUCACCUUCACAGCAGCCCUCUCUCAACACCUUCAGCAGCAGGUUUUGACUCAACAGGAGAGGGGAGGCAUUGAGCUGGACACCCUCAACUCACAGGCUCAAUCAGUGACAGCACCGUCCCCAAGUCCAGGCUGAUUACCUGGGAGCCCUCGGAGGACUUUAUGAAGACCAGCCACGUGGUCAACACACCUGUACAGACCAUGCACAUCAUGGGGGACCUGGGACCACCAGGCAAACUUGGCCAAAACGAGAAGGAAUGCUUGUUGUGCACAAUAAGAGCAGAUGGAAAUGGAGUGAUUACCAUCAAACCAGACUUCAACAAAGUUGUUUCAUCAGCAAAGGUCAUCUCAAAUCUGAUUUUAUUUGUCACAUGCCGAAUACAACAGGUGUAGUAGACCUUACAGUGAAAUGCUUAUUUAAAAAAAAUAAGUGUUAGGUAAUUAUUUUUUAUUUUGGACCUAGACUUGGCGCUCCGGUACCGCUUGCCGUGCGGUAGCAGAGAGAACAUUCUAUGACUAGGGUGGCUUGAGUCUUUGACAAUUUUUAGGGCCUUAUUCUGACACCACCUGGUAUAGUGGUCCUGGAUGGCAGGAAGCUUGGCCCCAGUGAUGUACUGGGACAUACUCACUACCCUCUGUAGUGCCUUGCAGUCAAAGUCCGAGCAGUUGCCAUACCAGGCAGUGAUUCAACCAGUCAGGAUGCUCUCGAUGGUGAAGCUGUAGAAUUUUUGCUAAAUCUUUUCAGUCUCUUGUGGGGGAAUAGGCUUUGUCGUGCCCUCUUCACGGCUGUCUUGGUGUUUUUUGACCAUUAUAGUUUGGUGAUGUGGACACCAAGGAACUUGAAGCUCUCAACCUGCUCCACUACAGCCACGUCGAUAAGAAUGGGGGCAUGCUCAGUCCUCCUUUUCCUGUAGUCCACAAUCUUCUCCUUUGUCUUGAUCACAUUUAAGAAGAGGUUGUUGUCCUUGCACCACAUUGUCAGGACUCUGACCUCCUUAUAGGCUUUCUCGUCGUUGUCGGUGAUCAGGCCUACCACUGUUGUCAUCGGCAAACUUAAUGAUGGUGUUGGAGUUGUGCCUGGCCAUGCAGUCAUGAGUGAACAGGGAGUACAGGAGGGGACUGAGCAUGCACCCUAGAGGUGCCCCCGUGUUGAGGAUCAGCGUGGCGGAUGUGUUGUUACCUACCCUUACCACCUGGGGGCGGCCCGUCAGGAGGUCCAGGAUCCAGUUGCAAAGGGAGGUGUUUAGUCCCAGGGUCCUUAGCUUAGUGAUGAGCUUUGAGGGCACUAAGGUGUUAAACGCUGAGAUGUAGUCAAUGAAUAGCAUUCUCACAUAGGUGCUUCUUUUGUCCAUGUGUGAAAGGGCAGUGUGGAGUGCAAUAGAGAUUGCAUCAUCUGUGGAUCUGUUGGGGCGGUAUGCAAAUUGAAGUGGAUCUAGGGUUUCUGGGAUAAUGGUGUUGAUGUGAGCCAUGGCCAGCCUUUCAAAGCACUUCAUGGCUACAGAUGUGAGUGCUACGGGUCGGUAGUCAUUUAGGCAGGUUACCUUAGUGUUCUUGGGCACAGGGACUAUGGUGGUCUGCUUGAAACAUGUUGGUAUUACAGACUCCGACAGGGAGAGGUUGAAAAUGUCAGUGAAGACGAUUGCCAGUUGGUCAGAGCAUGCUCGGAGUACACGGCCUGGUAAUCUAUCUGGCCCUGCAGCCUUAUGAAUGUUGACCUGUUGAUCAAUGUUGAUCACAGUCAUCCGGAACAGCUGAUGCUCUCAUGCAUCUUUCAGUGUUACUUGCCUUGAAGCGAGCAUAGAAAUGAUUUAGCUCGUCUGGUAGGCUCGUGUCACUGGGCAGCUCUCGGCUGUGCUUCCCUUUGUCGUCUGUAAUAGUUUGCAAGCCCUGCCACAUCCGACGAGCAUCGGAGCCGGUGUAGUAGCCUGUAUUGACACUUUGCCUGUGUAACAGUAUAACUUUAGACCGUCCCCUUGCCCCGGGCGCGAACCAGGGACCCUCUGCACACAUCAACAACAGUCACCCACGAAGCGUCGUUACCCAUCGCUCCACAAAAGCCGCGGCCCUUGCAGAGCAAGGGGAAACCCUGCUUCAAGUUUCAGAGCAAGUGACGUAACCGAUUGAAAUGCUAUUAGCGCGUACCCGCUAACUAGCUAGCCAUUUCACAUCCGUUACACCUGUUUGAUGGUUCGUCGGAGGGCAUAGUGGGAUUUCUUAUAAGCUUCCAUGUUGGAGUCCUGCUCCUUGAAAGCGGAAGCUCUACCCUUUAGCUCUGUGCGGAUGUUGCCUGUAAUCCAUGGCUUCUGGUUGGGUAUAUACGUAUAGUCACUGUGGGGAUGACGUCAUUGAUCCACGUAUUGAUGAAGCCAGUGAUUGAUGUGGUGUACUCCUCAAUGCCAUCGGAAGAAUCCCAGGAACAUAUUCCAGUCUGUGCAAGCAAAACAGUUCUGUAGUUUAGCAUCUGCUUCAUCUGACCACUUUUUUAAUAGACUGAGUCACUGAUGCUUCCUGCUUUCAUUUUUUCUUGUAAGCAGGAAUCAGGAGGAUAGAAUUAUGGUCAGAUUUGCCAAAUGGAGGGCGAGGGAGAGCUUUGUACGCAUCUCUGUGUGUGGAGUGAAGGUGGU
Molecule: RNA transcript, 2887 nt
Organism: Salvelinus fontinalis (brook trout)
Lineage: Eukaryota; Metazoa; Chordata; Actinopteri; Salmoniformes; Salmonidae
Gene name: tectonic-like complex member MKS1
Exons: 4
Source: RefSeq, a predicted model, not a curated record